Molecule: long non-coding RNA, 2888 nt
Filed under: Vigna radiata
Lineage: Eukaryota; Viridiplantae; Streptophyta; Magnoliopsida; Fabales; Fabaceae
Description: long non-coding RNA (VRAD_LNC011548)
Source: RNAcentral
UCCUCCAUUUUCUCGUCGGAAUCAGGCAUAGCUUGGUCUUUAGUGAUCUCUGCUUCAGCGGUCAGGGUUAGGGAUUCGUUUUGUUCCAUCCCGACCACAAAAACUGAUACAGGGAGAGGGAUGGAUGUUUUAUGUCAAUCUUUAACAAGGAUCGGACAGACAGUAAGACAGAACAGGACAACCACUCAUACAAGCACCAGACAAUGGAGCAGGUCAGACUCUACUCAGAACUCUGAAUCAGAUUUCAAAAACAAUGAAAAGCUCAAUUAGCCUGUGUUCACUUCAGGGUGCUGUACUGUUUACGGAGAUUGGAGAGCGAGGAAUGGAAGGUAAUUACACGUUCACUUGAAGUGAAUUGCACGGAUGGAAUUGAGGGAGAUUGCAGGAUUCUUCUACUAUUCAUUCACCCGCAUAUCUGAGGAGAUUUGGAAGGAUCAAAUGCACUUUCUCUAAAAUGCCCUUGUGAGUGAAUAAAAUUCUCAUAUGAAUAAAAUGCCCCUGGAAGGCUGGUGUUGGGGUUUCGUGAGACCAAAGGAGAUGGAAGGAGAGGUGCGUGAUGCCUAUUGCGACAGCGUGGUUAGCUUCGAUCAAUGGCGUGGUAACGGCCAGCUGGAGAAGAUGCUCGAAAGAAGCUUAUCAAUCUCACUGCGGAGUACCUCCUCUGUCUUCUCCACCGCCGUGCUCCCAUCUGCGUCAACACUACACUGCCGCCAUAUAUUACCUAAAAAAAAACCUUGCUCUCACUACACCUUCUUUUCUUAUCCACCAGAAAAAACCCUUUUCUAAGCUAACCCUUUUUUCUUUCAAUAAUACUUUAUUUUUUCUUAUUUAUAAAAUGCUCUUUUUUUAAUAACCGUGUUAAGUUAGUUUCUAUUUUUUUAAAGUUUUUAUUUAUUUUAAGUUUUUAUUUAUUAAUAGCAUGUAUUAAUUUAUAGUUUCUCUUAAGUAUUUUAUUUUUUAAAAUUUUAUGCAUUUAAAAAUAAAUUUAUUUUACUAAAUUAUAAUUUUUUUCUUUUUAAAAAUUAAUUUUAGUCAUUAUUUUUAAUUUUUUAUUCUUUAUAAACAUUUUUAUAUUUAAAUAUAACAUUAACAAUUAUCAUUUUAUAUUACUUUAGUAAUUAAGGACAUUUUGGUAAUCUUUAAUUUAUAUUAAUUAAACCAAUUUUUUAAAAUUAUCACAUCAAUCAAAUUCUACACUAAUUCUCACAUACUUUACUUCCAAAUCCACUCUCAAUUAUCUUCAAAUCCAUUCAAGUAAACACAAAAAAAAAUCACCCUCAAAUCCUCUCAAAUCCACUCAAUCACUCUUUCCCAAAUCAUCUCUCCCUAUCACCCUAAAGUAAACACACCCUUAAAGAAACAGCAGAACAGAAGUCACAUGUAUUGGACAAAACCAACACAGCCAACAAGACAAGCAAGAAAACAGGGUAAUUUAUAAAGGCUGGCAUGCAAAUUGAACCUAAGGAAUAGAACUAGAUCAGAUUUUAAAGCAAUAAAAAGGACCUAAGUUGAACCAAUACUGAACAGAUUUGAUUUACAUAUUGCAUACCAAACUGUUUAACAUUGUGCAUCAGAGAAACUGGUUUUAUUUUUCAUAUUUGAUGUUCUACAUUAGAUGCCGCUAUUGUGAAUUGCACUAAGUCCUUCAACUCUUUUUUUUAUUAUGACUUGUCACAAUAGGAUUAAUCCUUGUCUGUUUCAAAUGUGAUUGACUUAUAGCUCUUGNUACAAUUCACAAUAGACGAAGAUCAAUGCAGUUUACAAAUCAACACUUUACUUGCAUCAGAUUAAUGGUUCAACUUAAUAAGAAAAAGAACACAUACAGAAUUGGUUUCAUUGAUAACUUUUGCUUCUAGCAUCAAAUGAAUAUCUGAACAUAACAGUGUCUUAAAAAUAGUAGAAUUACUAUUGCUAAGCUCACUGGUAUAUCAGAAUUGUCAUAUGCAACUGCAGCUUUUGAAGCAUAAAAAUUCACAUUUAACCAAAACUGUAGAAAGUGAAUUUGAAUAACAAAACAGCAAACACAAAUGACUCAAAGAUAGAGAUUAUAAACUGAACUUAGUAAGGAACUAAUACUAAGCAUAUUUGUCAAAAUAUCAUAGCUCAUAUAUGGUGAACAGAACUUACUCAGUGCAGAAAACUCAAAUGAAUCACAAAACACAAGCAACAGCUAGUUAAGCUCGAAUUUAAUUGACAAUUAAACGAAGCACAAGACUAGAACAUGACAGAAAUGUGAUUUCAAACUUAAAAAGACUCAAUAACAUAGAACCACCGAAUUAAAAUGAUGAAAUCAGACUCAAAGCACUGACUCAAAGCUUAAAACAAACACAGAUUACGCAAACUUGGAGACCUAACACAUAAAUGUAGAAUCAAGAACGAACAACAGAUUGAAUCCCAUUCAGACCUUUAAUCAAAUAGUUCAUGAGCAACAGUAAACAUAAUACUCAAGACAAUGAAGGCAAAGCUAUGAACAACGCGGAAAAAUUAACACAAAACGCAACAGGAUACUCAGAAUCAUAUGAAACUCAGACAAGACCGAAUCAAGAAAACACGAAACAGAGACACUUACCUUUGAAGCGUGGACACAACCUGGUGCUCUGAUGACCACUUGAUUGAAGAAGGCUCCAAGAAAAGGCCGUUUGAGACUGUGCGAAGACAAACUGGACCUCUUCGAAGCUUCUCCGAUGAAGAAAACGCAGCGGAAUGUUGAUACGCAGCUCUAGAUCGAGAUGAAUCGAAGGAAAAACUAAGAAACACAGGAUGAUCUGACAGAAACCCUAAAUCCCCAAAUUAAACGGUAGAAAACCCUAGAACGAAGAAGAAACCCUAAAAUUGGUGAGGCGACUCAAUCAAACCGAUUAAUCGGUUCAAAACAGUGGUUGAACGGU